Homo sapiens (human) is the source of this 306-nucleotide long non-coding RNA. RefSeq lists it as uncharacterized. The transcript has 3 exons. The record is from RefSeq and is a predicted model, not a curated record. Lineage: Eukaryota; Metazoa; Chordata; Mammalia; Primates; Hominidae.
AUUCAAUAGAUGUUUACCGAAGAAAUGAAUAAACUACAACACUGAGAGACCUACUCCAGCAAGUGGAAUGACCUUGGAAAGGAACAAAAACUUCCAUUUGGAACUCUGUUUUCCCACAGUGGAUUAUUUUGUGGAGGUAUCAAAUCUGGACUAGCUGUGCUACACAACAGUGAGUGAUCAUGGAGCUGUUUAUCCCACUAGCUUACCAGAUAAGAGCAGAAUGGUGCCAUUCAUCAAGACAAGUGACAAUUAAAGAAGACCAGGUUUAUUACAAUAAAUACCACUGAAUGCCUACCAUGGGCCAAG